RNAcentral lists this long non-coding RNA (434 nucleotides) under Homo sapiens (human). RNAcentral's name for it is "HSALNT0324255". Lineage: Eukaryota; Metazoa; Chordata; Mammalia; Primates; Hominidae. The record is from RNAcentral.
GCUUCAAAGGAACUGUCAGCAGCCUGCGAGUUUUCCUUCCACAAGGGACAGAGGAGACAUUGAAACAUUCAGUCAACAGUGUUUGCCACUCAAAGAGCUUUGAUACAAGGAACAGGAUAUCAAGAUCAAAAUUCCGCUCAAGCUUGGCAUUCAAAGCGCUCAGACUUGACAAUUCCUGACCGAAUGCCACCAACAUCUCAACUAAAGCCCUCUGGGGGCUGGGACACAAAGCUGUUCACACAGCAAGAUAUGACUUUGAUAAUUCCUCUGGGCUCAUCUUGGUGACUCUAUCUUAAUACAGUGUGUUUCAUUUAAAACAAAAGAAGUCACACACAAGCAUCAAGAUAUUCUGAACCUGAUAGGUACCAUAGACCAGACCGGGAGCAUGAGACUUGCUCACUUUUUCAAUAAGAAUGUCCCCCUCAGAGGCUGCU